UACGAAGGGGGCUAGCGUUGUUCGGAAUUACUGGGCGUAAAGCGAGUGUAGGUGGUUGUCGUAGUCAGGCGUGAAAGCCUUGAGCUCAACUCAAGAAAUGCGCUUGAUACUGGGCAGCUAGAGGACCGGAGAGGAUAGUGGAAUUCCCAGUGUAGUGGUGAAAUACGUAGAGAUUGGGAAGAACACCAGUGGCGAAGGCGGCUAUCUGGACGGUUUCUGACACUAAGACUCGAAAGCGUGGGGAGCAAACAGG
Molecule: ribosomal RNA, 253 nt
Filed under: uncultured bacterium
Lineage: Bacteria
Description: partial 16S ribosomal RNA
Rfam family: Bacterial small subunit ribosomal RNA
Source: RNAcentral